Molecule: ribosomal RNA, 542 nt
Filed under: Homalocantha pele
Lineage: Eukaryota; Metazoa; Mollusca; Gastropoda; Neogastropoda; Muricidae
Description: partial 12S ribosomal RNA
Source: RNAcentral
AACCAAGAUGGCUAAGUUAUACACUUUCGGUAAAAAGACAGUUAAGUAAUUUUAAGUUUAUUUAGUGCUUAUAUAAGGGUAGAAUCUGAAUAUAAGUAUAUAAUUUAAUUAUGACUAAAGUACUGAAGCUGUGACAGCCUUGAGGGAAACUGGGAUUAGAUACCCCAUUAUUCUUGGCUGUAAAGUGAUAUACUAUCUACCAGAGUACUAUGAACUAUAAAAGUUUAAAACUCAAAGGGCUUGGCGGUGUUUUAGACCUCUCAGGGGAACCUGUCUCAUAAUCGACAAUCCACGAUAUACCUGACCUUUUUUUGUAUUCAGUUUGUAUACCGUCGUCGUCAGGUAACUUUUAAAAAACUAGAAGUUAGCAAAAAAAUAAUGUAAAUUUAAACGUCAGAUCAAGGUGCAGCUUACAAGAGGGGGAGGAUGGGUUACAAUUAUUUACUUAUAAUUAUGAAUCAUUACCUUAAAAAGUAUUGUGAAGGAGGACUUGAAAGUAAAAUGCAAUAUAUAAACAUUUUGAAUAAGGCUCUGAAACGUGC